CAAGUCGAGCGCUUCACUUCGGUGAGGAGCGGCGGACGGGUUAGUAACGCGUGGGAACAUACCCUUUUCUAAGGAAUAGCCACUGGAAACGGUGAGUAAUACCUUAUACGCCCUUCGGGGGAAAGAUUUAUCGGUGAAGGAUUGGCCCGCGUUAGAUUAGAUAGUUGGUGGGGUAACGGCCUACCAAGUCGACGAUCUAUAGCUGGUUUGAGAGGAUGAUCAGCAACACUGGGACUGAGACACGGCCCAG
This 250-nucleotide ribosomal RNA is filed under the name uncultured bacterium. RNAcentral describes it as "partial 16S ribosomal RNA". It matches the Rfam family "Bacterial small subunit ribosomal RNA", at positions 58 to 334 of the family's 1533-position model. The record is from RNAcentral.